AUGACUGCCAUGGUUCUCUUGUGGGUUUUCAUGGGCUUAUUUGCUGGUUAUUCCUCUGCACGGUUGUACAAAAUGUUCAGCGGUAUAGAGUGGAAGAGGAAUACCUUAAAGACUGCCUUUAUGUUUCCAGGAAUUCUAUGUGGUGGGUAUUGGGGUUGGGGGAAGAUGAGAUGGGGAUGGCGUUUUCUGGGUUUGGCUUUAUUGUUCUUGUUUUUACUUUUUUGA
This 225-nucleotide long non-coding RNA is filed under the name Prunus dulcis (almond). RNAcentral describes it as "sRNA ncRNA". The record is from RNAcentral. Lineage: Eukaryota; Viridiplantae; Streptophyta; Magnoliopsida; Rosales; Rosaceae.